Molecule: ribosomal RNA, 468 nt
Filed under: uncultured bacterium
Lineage: Bacteria
Description: partial 16S ribosomal RNA
Rfam family: Bacterial small subunit ribosomal RNA
Source: RNAcentral
GACGAACGCUGGCGGCGUGCUUAACACAUGCAAGUCGAACGGAAAGGCCCUGCUUUUGUGGGGUGCUCGAGUGGCGAACGGGUGAGUAACACGUGAGUAACCUGCCCUUGACUUUGGGAUAACUUCAGGAAACUGGGGCUAAUACCGGAUAGGAGCUCCUACUGCAUGGUGGGGGUUGGAAAGUUUCGGCGGUUGGGGAUGGACUCGCGGCUUAUCAGCUUGUUGGUGGGGUAGUGGCUUACCAAGGCUUUGACGGGUAGCCGGCCUGAGAGGGUGACCGGCCACAUUGGGACUGAGAUACGGCCCAGACUCCUACGGGAGGCAGCAGUGGGGAAUAUUGCACAAUGGGCGGAAGCCUGAUGCUGCAACGCCGCGUGCGGGAUGACGGCCUUCGGGUUGUAAACCGCUUUCGCCUGUGACGAAGCGUGAGUGACGGUAAUGGGUAAAGAAGCACCGGCUAACUACGUG